AGUGAACGCUGGCGGUAGGCCUAACACAUGCAAGUCGAACGGCAGCACAGAGGAGCUUGCUCCUUGGGUGGCGAGUGGCGGACGGGUGAGGAAUACAUCGGAAUCUACUCUGUCGUGGGGGAUAACGUAGGGAAACUUACGCUAAUACCGCAUACGACCUACGGGUGAAAGCAGGGGAUCUUCGGACCUUGCGCGAUUGAAUGAGCCGAUGUCGGAUUAGCUAGUUGGCGGGGUAAAGGCCCACCAAGGCGACGAUCCGUAGCUAGUCUGAGAGGAUGAUCAGCCACACUGGAACUGAGACACGGUCCAGACUCCUACGGGAGGCAGCAGUGGGGAAUAUUGGACAAUGGGCGCAAGCCUGAUCCAGCCAUACCGCGUGGGUGGAGAAGGCCUUCGGGUUGUAAAGCCCUUUUGUUGGGAAAGAAAUCCAUCUGGUUAAUACCCGGGUGGGAUGACGGUACCCAAAGAAUAAGCACCGGCUAACUUCGUGCCAGCCGCCGCAGUAA
Molecule: ribosomal RNA, 506 nt
Filed under: uncultured bacterium
Lineage: Bacteria
Description: partial 16S ribosomal RNA
Rfam family: Bacterial small subunit ribosomal RNA
Source: RNAcentral